AUAGAACCCGCCUUCCCCACAGUCCAGGUGAACUAACACACCUCCGGCCGGUAUUUAGAGGUCACCAGCUCCUCAAGGCGCCACAAACACUUCUUUAAGGCCGCUUUCAAGACUUCUCGGAGUAGAAAGGCGCCGGUGAGCUAGCAGGGUCCCGGGAGAGUUGGAUAAGAAGCCUGGCGGCAAGUUUGUGCCGAUUGUUAUCAGAUGGCGGAAGCCAGGCUGGACGCGGAAGUAGCUGACAUUCUGGCGGGUAUGGCAGCCAAGCCGGCCAACAUACCAGAAAUCAGCGUAGACAAAGUCCACGCCCAUUCUCCCGGCAGUCGAAGGGCAAAGAAGAUGGGAACUCCAACCUUUGACCGGGACACGCCCGUCCUGUCACUCACUCCGCUCAGGGGCAGCCCAGCG
This is a long non-coding RNA of Branchiostoma belcheri (Belcher's lancelet), 405 nucleotides long. RefSeq lists it as uncharacterized. NCBI's taxonomy places the organism in Eukaryota, Metazoa, Chordata, Leptocardii, Amphioxiformes, Branchiostomatidae. The record is from RefSeq and is a predicted model, not a curated record. The transcript is spliced from 3 exons.